Bos taurus (domestic cattle) is the source of this 474-nucleotide long non-coding RNA. The record is from Ensembl. NCBI's taxonomy places the organism in Eukaryota, Metazoa, Chordata, Mammalia, Artiodactyla, Bovidae.
CUCCCCACCCCCGCACAGAUGCUCACAUACAGUCAAGUCAACCCAGUUGGUAUUGACACCCAAGCCCUCCGAGUUCAAAGCAAGAGCCACCUCAGAGUUCCCACCAUCUAAAGAGGACCUUGGCUUUUUCCUUUGAAGUGUUUCCUUUGAAGGUCAAGGAAUGUUUUAUCAGGAUAAGGUGAGAACCAGGAGAACGAAGAAUGCACCAGGAUCUCAAGUGAAGAUCUCCUGGCCUGCUGCCUAUGAUAUAUCAUUACUGUUGUUACGAAAGAGCAAAAAUAUGCUUUGACUAUUUCCUUCAACCAUCAAACCUUCAGGGCAGGAGGAAAGACCCGGAUGAACUGCUCAGCAGAGAAAGGUAGAAUGUCCUGGAAAUGCAUUCCCAGGCCAAAGGAGACCCAGCAAAAAUAAAGCAGCCAAUUUCUCCCUCACAUCCCCUCCCCCAAACCUGCAAUCAGCAAUAAUUUUAGAGAA